GACAGAGGAGCCAAGCGUUGUCCGGAUUGACUGGGCGUAAAGCGCACGCAGGCGGUCGUACACGUGGGGUGUGAAAACUGGCGGCUUAACUGCCAGAGGCCACCUCAUACGGCGCGACUCGAGCCCGUGAGAGGUCCAUGGAAUUGCCGGUGUAGUGGUGAAAUGCGUAGAGAUCGGCAGGAACACCCAGGGAGAAAUCAGUGGACUGGCACGGUGCUGACGCUCAGGUGCGAAAGCGUGGGGAGCGAACCGG
RNAcentral lists this ribosomal RNA (253 nucleotides) under uncultured bacterium. Its description in RNAcentral is "partial 16S ribosomal RNA". It matches the Rfam family "Bacterial small subunit ribosomal RNA", at positions 524 to 776 of the family's 1533-position model. The record is from RNAcentral.